ACAAAAAUCUGAUAAUCCUCAUCUUUCUCUCUGUACUCUCACGCCCUCUUUCUCUCUUCUCACCACAACCAUCAACUUCACUCCAUCUUGAAUCAAUCACCACAUGCAAACUAUUUUCUAUCAUCCUUGGGUUAUUAAUAGGUAAGAUUUGUGGCUAGAUGUUGUCACUCCUCACCCAAUCUUUCUCCCUCAUGCUCAAAAUCCUUUUACCUAAAUUCUCAACGAACAGCCGCUGCAUGUUAGAGAUCUUACUUGGGUUGAGUUUAUUGUUCAGAAGCUUGAGCACUCUCUGAAGUUGAUUGUUGGUGGUUGUGCUGCAGCAACAGUUGGAUUGUUAAGCUAAAAACAGAUUUUGGAAUAAUUGAAAGAAGUAUGUGAAACCCGUAUUCUGGACAGGGUCUCACUAAAGUGGUCAGUACUCUCUCCUCUUAACUCCGUUUUAAAUUCCGUUUGUUUCUAUGGUUAGCUAACGAAAUUUCGGUCGUUUGGAUGCCAAUUUUGUGAACUGGGAAGCUGUAACGAAUUCAGGAGACGCACCUGAAGUCCAGGGUCAGAUGCAGAAUUUUGGAUUGAAGUUAGCAUCAUAGUCAUCUUACGAGUUAUUAGAAAUACAAAUGGAGCCUUAAAGGUUGAUUUUGGAGUACAAGGCAGUAGUUCUCUUUCUUGGACUUCAGAUAAACAGGUUGCAGUGUAGAGAGCUAUGGACUAGAAGAAGUGAAGUGACAUUGGAUGUUAUUGUCAUUGUUUAUAUGGAUAUUCUAUUAAGUUGUUGUAUAAUUUAGUGUCAUAGUAUAUAUGUAUUGACUGGUUAUUUAUGGCUCUGAUGUAAGUUUUUAAGUUACAUUAUGACAGGAAUGUUAUCAUUCAGUUUAGUCAAUACUUGUAUAAUGACAAGGCUUUUAUGUUUUAUCGGUA
This is a long non-coding RNA of Trifolium pratense (red clover), 915 nucleotides long. RefSeq lists it as uncharacterized. The record is from RefSeq and is a predicted model, not a curated record. The transcript is spliced from 3 exons. Lineage: Eukaryota; Viridiplantae; Streptophyta; Magnoliopsida; Fabales; Fabaceae.